This 478-nucleotide ribosomal RNA is filed under the name uncultured bacterium. RNAcentral's name for it is "partial 16S ribosomal RNA". It matches the Rfam family "Bacterial small subunit ribosomal RNA", at positions 28 to 523 of the family's 1533-position model. The record is from RNAcentral.
GACGAACGCUGGCGGCGUGCUUAACACAUGCAAGUCGAACGGUAAGGCCCUUCGGGGUACACGAGUGGCGAACGUGUGAGUAACACGUGGGUGAUCUGCACUACACUUCGGGAUAAGCCUGGGAAACUGGGUCUAAUACCGGAUAGGACCCUGGGAUGCAUGUCCUGGGGUGGAAAGCUUUUGGGGUGUGUGAUGGGCCGGCGGCCUAUCAGCUUGUUGGUGGGGUGAUGGCCUACCAAGGCGACGACGGGUAGCCGGCCUGAGAGGGGGAACGGCCACACUGGGAUUGAGAUACGGCCCAGACUCCUACGGGAGGCAGCGGUGGGGAAGAUUGCACAAUGGGCGCAAGCCUGAUGCAGCGACGCCGCGUGAGGGAUGACGGCCUUCGGGUUGUAAACCUCUUUCAGCACAGACGAAGCGCAAGUGACGGUAGGUGCAGAAGAAGGACCGGCCAACUACGUGCCAGCCGCCGCCGUAA